This 6329-nucleotide long non-coding RNA is filed under the name Sus scrofa (pig). Its description in RNAcentral is "lncRNA (ENSSSCG00035049288.1)". Lineage: Eukaryota; Metazoa; Chordata; Mammalia; Artiodactyla; Suidae. The record is from RNAcentral.
UUUUUUUUUUUUUUUCAGUGAUCUAGUUUCUUCCACCUUAUUGUUCCCAGAAAUAUUGUCCUCAUUUGCCUGUCUACCAUUGACUUAGCUCCUGCUUUACCUUCUAGUCUAUGGGAAGAAAGAGAGAUAAAGAUUAUAGCAAACAAUUUUAUUUUGAGGAAAUGAUGCUGAGGUUGUAUACAUCUUUCCCACACUCCUCUUCCACUGGUAAUACAUGGCCAGAUGGCUACACUUAGCUGCAAGGAAGGCUAGAAUGUAUACAUCUUUCCCACACUCCUCUUCCACUGGUAAUACAUGGUCAGAUGGCUACACUUAGCUGCAAGGAAGGCUAGAAUGUUUGGUCUCUAGCAGGAUGGCUCUGCGCUCAGCUAAAAAUAUUAUUAUAGAAGAAGGAAAGAAUGGGCUUGGAAAAAAAUCAGAAGCCUAUCACAACUCUUUAGUUUUAAAGCCCCUUUCUUAUUAUGAGAAAACAAACACCAGCCAAUGGGUGGGAAAUCAUGGGAGAGCAUUUAUAUACAAGUAAAUGUUUCUAUUUUAUUUUGCAACAUUUUGGAGUCAUUUAUGGUUUGUAAUAAAGGAGUGGCACAAUCACAUUUUCAUUUUACAAAAGACCACUCUGGAUGCAGGUGAGGGAAAAUACUGGAGGGAAGGAGACCAAUUUUGAAGCACUUGCAGGAAUCUGGUUGAUAUAUUAUGCUGAUGGGAACUAAAGGAAUUAGUAGUGAGGUCAAAGGGAGAGAAAUCCAUGAGGUGAAAUGAUUAAAUACAUGCUUAUAAAUAAGAUGUAAGCAUAGAAAGUUUAGGGGUAAACAAUAGUAACACGGAGGCCAUAUAGGCUGAAUGAGUGGUAAUCUUAUCCAGUACACAGAAGGAGAGUGAAAAAGAUGAGUUUAAUGUUGCACACCGAAAAUUGCAAUCACUGAGCUAAUUAGGCAAAACUGUGUGGGAAAAGAUUCAGCCCAAAGGCAUCUGUUCAGGACUCUGUUCUAGAGGGAAGAAGGGAACCCAGAAUGGGAUCCUAAGGAAAGGCGACACUUAAGGGUUGACCAAGAAAGUGGAAGCUGUGUUCACUGACAACUAUUUGCCAGUAAUAAUUUAUUACAUUCACCUAAACCCCAUUUACUUAAUACCCUUCACAGACUAGUGUAUCACCAGUCAUUGACUCUCUAAGUACUGCCGAUGCAUCGAAUUCAGUUUGCUAAAAAUGUUGCCUGAUGUCUAUCCAUUUUUUAUGUUUCAUUUUGUUGAAGAUAGUCAAAGAAUCAGUUUUUAAGUGAAUUGCUAAAAAAGUAUAUUGCUGCUCUGUGAUUUAAAGUUAGGUGAAUUAGGAAGGAAGAAAGUAGUGUAGUAUCAUGCAUUUAAAUGGAGAGAGUGUUUCAUGAGGGAAGCCGUGUUAAAUGCUCAGAGUUCACAACGACCUUGCAUGAUGAUGUAUCAUAGGGAAUGGGAAUUACUUAAGGCUCCUCUUUGCAUAUCAGUAUCAUCUCUGAUGCUACUGUGUGAUUUCCCUAAAAGCACUUCAGCUUGAGGACUGAUGCCAGAUCUAAUAGCACAUGUAGGAUCUCAUAACCCUUUAAUCAUUUUGCCCAUCACCUUGGUACACCCAGGUUUCUCUAAUCUAGAGUGAACUGGAAUUCUGCAGAGGUAGUCCUUUUAUUCAUCUGUACUGUGUGGAGGGCUAUGAAGCACUGUACAAUUUUCAAAUAAAUAUCUCCCCGAUUUUCUUUUUUUUUUUUUUUUUUUAUUUUCCCACUGUACAGCAAGGGGGUCAGGUUAUCCUUACCUCUAUACAUUACAAUUACAUUUUUUCCCCCACCCUUUGUUCUGUUGCAACAUGAGUAUCUAGACAUAGUUCUCAAUGCUAUUCAGCAGGAUCUCCUUGUAAAUCUACUCUAAGUUGUGUCUGAUAAGCCCAAGCUCCCGAUCCCUCCCACUCCCUCCGCCUCCCAUCAGGCAGCCACAAGUCUCUUCUCCAAGUCCAUGAUUUUCUUUUCUGAGGAGAUGUUCAUUUGUGCUGGAUAUUAGCGUCCAGUUAUAAGUGAUAUCAUAUGGUAUUUGUCUUUGUCUUUCUGGCUCCCCGAUUUUCUCAUGCAUUCAUAUUAAAUUCUCCCAUCAUUUUCAUGGGACUGUAUUUCUAGCACAUUUCAUUCUUUUUCCUAGAUCCAUAAUUCUAACAUUGGUUUAUUUGUGCCUGAUAGACUUCCUUAAACAUUUCUUACAGUGCAGUGUGAUGGUGUUGAAUCUUUUCAACUUUUGCAUGUUCAAAACUCUCUUAUUACAUUUUUAUUUUAGGAAUAUAUUUUCAUUGAUUUUAAAAUUCUAGGUUGAAAACCUUUUUACUUUCAGUACCUUAAAGAUGUAUUUUGUUUCUUUCUUGUUGGCAUUUUUUCCAGAAAGAAGUCUGUUAUUAAUUUUGUUUUUCCCUGAAUAACGUGUCUUUUUCUUUCAUAUGCUUUUGAGAUUUCUUGGUUUUGAGCAAUUUGAAUAUGAUGCAUCUUAGUGUAGUUUCUUUAUGUUUUGUUCAUUAAGGGUCUGAGAUUCUUAGAUCUGUCAGUACAAGUUAAUUUUUGUUUUGUGUAACAAGAAGGUGAGGAAGUCCCUAUCUGACAAGUAUCUCUUUUUUUGUGAAGUAAGAGUUUGUCCAUCUAUUGUGAAUGACAUCACAAUGGUGUGUCAGAUGUUUGAAGAGAUGAAAUAUAUAUACUGUGAAAAAUGUGAGAGUCUUGAGGGUAUGAAUGACUGCUAAUAUGUAGUUUUCAUUAGUCUCAAGCUUUAUGUUCUCAAGCAGUUCUUUCCUUUUAUGAUUUGGGAAUCAAGGAGACAGCUGGAAAAGAUGAUAAAAUUUGCCAGGUAAAUGAUGGUCUAUUCAGUUUAUAUUAGAAAGGGAAGAAAGUGAACAGAAGAGGCAGUUGAAUGAUGGAAAGAAACUUAAGGAGGUCAAAGAAUUACAGAUUUUGAGGUCAUGAAGAAGGUAUAAAUGCACAGUUUAGAGAUCCAAAAGAUUAGAAGUCUAGGGAUAAAAUAUGGAACCUAGCAUUUAAGAGUUGCUGCAGUUGUAUGUGACAGCAUGAUCCAGAAGACAACCAUAAGAGAGCAAUGCUACAAUAGCAUGGAGAUGGGCUGUUAAAGAAGUCAACAUGCAGAAAAUAGAUUAUCCACAUGAAGAUUAAAAGCACCAAGGGUAUUAAUGGCUGCUUUGGAAUGAAAAGAAAAUCAGAGAUCCAGUUACCAAUUCUUUACUAAAUAAGGUGAAUUCAAGAGUUCAGUAAGCAGCCAUCAAGGAAGAGACACAGACUGUCAUAGAGAGAGAUGGAGGAGCCUUGAAAGGAGCAUAGAUUUUACAUGAUUGUGGAGGAGUAACCAUAGAAGAAAUGGGAGGAUGAGAGGGCUCACUCCUGACUUCCAAGGCAAGGGAUGAGGGCCGUGGCUGAAUGGGCAGACUCACUUGAGGUGGGGGGCUCACUCGAAUGGACAGAAAAUGAAGCUAAGAAUCAGCAUUCUGUUUUAUUGAUUAAAACAUACUUUGGAUGGAUCAGAUCCUAGCACAAGUAAAUGAAAAAAAGAAUGAAGCGGAAAAUAAAAUGUGGAGAGAAGUACUACUGAAAGCAACAUAUCAAAGUCUGCCGUAAGAUAAUGACUACAAUUUGAAAAAUUAUCACUGUACUAUUCUAUGAUAAAACAAGAACAUGUUUGACAUUGUAAAAUGCAGCAAGACUUUGCCUCAAUUAGAUAAAAAAAGGGAACAAUUCAGGAAGCCCCAAAUAUAAAAAUAAUUAAAAUCCACAUGAAGCCAAUAAAUUGAAUGGACCAAAGAAAAGAGAAAAAAAUUAACAAAUGUAGAAGAAGAAGAAUUUAUUCAAUUAGAUUGAAAGGGCUCUCUGUACUUCUGAAAAAUAAAGUAUAAAUAAAAACAUCUAAAAAAUAAUCUUGAAUCACGAGUACGUAAGCAUCCAAACAUCUAAUUGGUCACCCCAAUUUAUGUAGGUUUGGAAUUUGGGCUGAUUUUUACUUUUUUUGUAUGCAUUUUUGAAUUUUAAAAAUUCUGGAAAAACAAAUACUUCUUUUAUGAUUAAAAAUCAGUAUUUUAGAAAUGAGGUGAAAUGUCAAAAUUAUAAGUGGGUCUCUAUGUAAAUACUGAAAAAUACUCUUAAAAACAAUACUUUUAUUUUAGGUUUUGUUCAGUGAAUAAAAUAUUUGCUUCUUCAACAGUCAAGAGUUGUUGUUCAGUGGCUGUGGAAAUCUUCCUUCUGAAAUACAAAGAACUAACACAGCACAAGUUAUUAAGUGGUGAAGUGGAUAUCAUCAAAUAGUCUGUGAAAAGACCUCUUAGAUUUAUGGGAAAGUAUCUUUACUUAAUAGAAAUGUUAGCACUUCCUGGGCUCAUUUAUUGUUUAGGAGUGUACCAAAGUUUGCUUCACUCCCAUCAGGCAUCAAGGUCAGCAUUAUUAUUUUCAGUUAAAUCCAACGGAGUCCUCAUUGAACACUAAAUAAAAGUCACCUUGUUUCCCUGUGGCUACCAUGGUUAUAUUAAGAAGAUAGAAAAGUCUAGAUCUGGAGUCUUUAAAAGGCUUGUUUAUUUUACUGCAUCCAAUACAGAACAGCACUGACUUCCCAAACUGAGACUUAGGGUGAUCUGAACACUGGGAACAAAACUCAUAUACAAACAAAUAUUCUUCUGCAAAUAUCAGAAUGGUGCCCCCCUCAGAGGGAAACUCUCCAGAAGGACAUUGAAAGAAUUAAAUGAGGAAAAAUGCUUGUGUAUAAUUUAGAAAUCAAGUAGAAAUUUAUGUUGGAGGAUAGGAGUCUAUCAGGAUGAGUUGGAAAGUAUUUGUCCCUGAAAAAAAUUCAAGGAUUUGAGGGAAAGGACCUGAGAUACAGAAUAGAGCAUCAGACUUGCAUGCUGUUAGUGGAUAAACUAAAUGACCUAAAAUACUUUUUACAUCAGUUGUUAUUUCUUGUAAGAUUCUUUUGUUUACGAAAAUGACAAGAGCACAGAGUUGCCUGAAUAGUUUUCGAUGACUUUAUUCUACAGUUGAGAAAUAGUUAUUCAAAAGAUUUUCUGUAGGAGGAAUUUAGAGGGGCUUCUAACUGCCCCACCCCCACCCCAGACAUACAGUUCUCCGUUUCAGUUAAGAAUGUGGAAAAAUACUAAUCAGAAGGGGCUGGGGGUUCAUACCUGCCAUUUGCUGGAAUGUCACAUUUAAUGUGGUCUGGCUGCCUUUCUCCUGAGAUGUUCAACUCUUUCUUCAAAAACAGUUAUAUAACCUCAUUAAUUUUUCCCCAAAUCCCUGUGAGCUAUGGUACUGAUAUUAUUCUCUUAAAAAUGAAAGAAUUUGAGGCUGAGCUACAAAAUGACUGAUGAUGAAGCAGCAAAGAAAAACUGCUUAUACAACCUCAGAAAAUUGGUGUGGACACUCAAUUAAUGUAACUCAACUUGCUUGUUGUUGCCAAUGAGUCCCCUGGUGCUAUGGCUGGUCUGUUUUAAAGGUCUCCAGGAAUCAGGAGCAGCAAGUAAUAAUGGGAAAUGUAGGUCAGCUCAGGAAAGAAAAUGUUAUUUGCAUGAUUUCCUUUCUCCAUGUUUCUAUGAAGCUCUUUCCUUUUCCUAAUUUUUAGCAUGUUAGAAUUUAUGGUCAAGCAUUAAAGAUAAAAUGGGAACUUAUAGAUGGGCAGUAUAGAUGGGCAAACUAGAAAGUUAUCUAUUUUCAGAAAAGUUGGCAUUUAUUUUAGACAUAAAGCAACUGGAGCUCAGAAGUAGAUGCCUUUUUUCUUGGAUCCCUAGUAUUGGACAGCAUUUCAUAUGGAGAGAAGGCAUAUGAAUUGAAGCUGUAAAGGAAUCUACAUAGAUUAGUGAAAAAAUGAAAAAUAAAAAGAAAGGAAAGGAAUUUGAGUUAAGUCUCAAAAUAGAAUGAGUGAAGUCCUAUUUAGAAAUGUUUUUCCUAUCUUUAAUGAAAUUCAUUUUAAAAAUUAUAACUACUACUAUUCAUUAAACAUUAUGUGACAGGGUGCUUUAUCCAUCUUAACUCAUGUAAUUUGCAUAAAUCCCAUGAGGUAGCCAGUGUAAUUUCCCCCCAUUUUAUGGAUGAGAAACUGAAAUUAUCUUGCCUGAGGCUGAAUGUAGAGCUACUUAGGUGGCCUUGCCCCAGGACUUGUACUUUUAAUGGCUAAAACAUACUAUCUUUCUAAUAUAAAUGGUGAUUUCUUUAUAGUUCCUUUAAUACUGCUUCCAGUGGAAGAUGCACCAGCUAACACCUUGAUGCUUUCUCUGACAGCUCAUAAAUUAAAAUAUAGCUUGGCAAAAAUCAAAGGCAUUCUCCAGAUGGUGUCACCCA